Molecule: non-coding RNA, 493 nt
Organism: Plasmodium gaboni
Lineage: Eukaryota; Apicomplexa; Aconoidasida; Haemosporida; Plasmodiidae
Source: RefSeq, a predicted model, not a curated record
UUAUUCUUUUUUAACUUUUUAAUAUUAUUUGUUUUUUUUUAUUAUUAUUUUUAUUUAUGGUAUAUUCAAGAACACAGUAGUCUAUAGAUCUUAAUUCAUCUUUUAUUUCUUUUAUAUAUCAUCUGAGUUUUUAUAAUAUAUAUAACAUGCGCAUUUAUUUAUACUUAUACAUUUUAAUACAUAUAAUAUAUAUAGAUAUAGAUUAAUAGAAAAAACAUAUAUAAUUUAAAGAAGAUACAUUUUAAGAUAUUAGACGAGUAUACAUGGUGUUGAUAAGGAUUUAUUUAUUUUUAUUUAUUUAUUUUUAUAUGUAAUUUUGUUGCCCUUUCAUAUAUGUAUAUCUCGGUCUUAUUUUGAUUUUAUAUAUUUACAUUAAAACGUAUGAGUGCAUUUUUGUGAUACCCACCUUGUUAUAGUUUUAUUUAAAUUAUUGUUAUAUUAAAUUAUAUUUUUAAAUGUAUAUAUAUAUAUAUAUAUAUAUAUAUAUAUAUAU